UGUCCUGUAAACAAGACUGGCACCAACCUCCAAGAUAUAUAACAAUGUCUGUUUUUGAAUACUUGAUCCCCUUGUCACUAGCUCCCAAGUGCUAGGAUGAAGGGCAGGGUCUCUUUGCUGCUGAAACCUGGUGCCUGAGGUACCUGAGAGGCCUAUCAAUUCGAACACAAGCAGAAGGCAUAGCCUCUUUUCUGCCUGAAGCUACAUAUGAAUGGGUCUUCUGGAAGAGGAGAAGGGGCCUACAGGAAAUUAAGGGAAUUGGAAGGUGAGAGGAAUAAAUAAAAAAUGGGACCAAGGUG
Mastomys coucha (southern multimammate mouse) is the source of this 299-nucleotide long non-coding RNA. RefSeq lists it as uncharacterized. The record is from RefSeq and is a predicted model, not a curated record. Lineage: Eukaryota; Metazoa; Chordata; Mammalia; Rodentia; Muridae. The transcript has 3 exons.